Molecule: ribosomal RNA, 497 nt
Filed under: uncultured bacterium
Lineage: Bacteria
Description: partial 16S ribosomal RNA
Rfam family: Bacterial small subunit ribosomal RNA
Source: RNAcentral
GAUGAACGCUGGCGGCGUGCCUAAUACAUGCAAGUCGAGCGAACAGACGAGGAGCUUGCUCCUCUGACGUUAGCGGCGGACGGGUGAGUAACACGUGGAUAACCUACCUAUAAGACUGGGAUAACUUCGGGAAACCGGAGCUAAUACCGGAUAAUAUAUUGAACCGCAUGGUUCAAUAGUGAAAGACGGUUUUGCUGUCACUUAUAGAUGGAUCCGCGCCGCAUUAGCUAGUUGGUAAGGUAACGGCUUACCAAGGCAACGAUGCGUAGCCGACCUGAGAGGGUGAUCGGACACACUGGAACUGAGAAACGGUCCAGACUCCGACGGGAGGCAGCAGUAGGGAAUCUUCCGCAAUGGGCGAAAGCCUGACGGAGCAACGCCGCGGGAGUGAUGAAGGUCUUCGGAUCGUAAAACUCUGUUAUUAGGGAAGAACAAAUGUGUAAGUAACUAUGCACGUCUUGACGGUACCUAAUCAGAAAGCCACGGCUAACUACGUG